RNAcentral lists this ribosomal RNA (484 nucleotides) under uncultured bacterium. RNAcentral's name for it is "partial 16S ribosomal RNA". It matches the Rfam family "Bacterial small subunit ribosomal RNA", at positions 30 to 507 of the family's 1533-position model. The record is from RNAcentral.
AUUGAACGCUGGCGGCAGGCCUAACACAUGCAAGUCGAGCGGAUGAAGGGAGCUUGCUCCUUGAUUCAGCGGCGGACGGGUGAGUAAUGCCUAGGAAUCUGCCUGGUAGUGGGGGAUAACGUCCGGAAACGGGCGCUAAUACCGCAUACGUCCUGAGGGAGAAAGUGGGGGAUCUUCGGACCUCACGCUAUCAGAUGAGCCUAGGUCGGAUUAGCUAGUUGGUGGGGUAAAGGCCUACCACGGCGACGAUCCGUAACUGGUCUGAGAGGAUGAUCAGUCACACUGGAACUGAGACACGGUCCAGACUCCUACGGGAGGCAGCAGUGGGGAAUAUUGGACAAUGGGCGAAAGCCUGAUCCAGCCAUGCCGCGUGUGUGAAGAAGGUCUUCGGAUUGUAAAGCACUUUAAGUUGGGAGGAAGGGCAGUAAGUUAAUACCUUGCUGUUUUGACGUUACCAACAGAAUAAGCACCGGCUAACUUCGUG